RNAcentral lists this ribosomal RNA (429 nucleotides) under Chloroflexota bacterium. RNAcentral's name for it is "Chloroflexi bacterium partial 16S ribosomal RNA". It matches the Rfam family "Bacterial small subunit ribosomal RNA", at positions 355 to 776 of the family's 1533-position model. The record is from RNAcentral. Lineage: Bacteria; Bacillati; Chloroflexota.
UGGGGAAUAUUUCACAAUGGGCGCAAGCCUGAUGCAGCCAUGCCGCGUGUAUGAAGAAGGCCUUCGGGUUGUAAAGCACUUUCAGCGGGGAGGAAGGCGUUAAGGUUAAUAACCUUGGCGAUUGACGUUACCCGCAGAAGAAGCACCGGCUAACUCCGUGCCAGCAGCCGCGGUAAUACGGAGGGUGCAAGCGUUAAUCGGAAUUACUGGGCGUAAAGCGCACGCAGGCGGUCUGUCAAGUCGGAUGUGAAAUCCCCGGGCUCAACCUGGGAACUGCAUUAGAAACUGGCAGGCUAGAGUCUUGUAGAGGGGGGUAGAAUUCCAGGUGUAGCGGUGAAAUGCGUAGAGAUCUGGAGGAAUACCGGUGGCGAAGGCGGCCCCCUGGACGAAGACUGACGCUCAGGUGCGAAAGCGUGGGGAGCAAACAGG